AGGAUUGCAGGCCUGUCUUAUUAUCUUGUUUUACUUCAGUCUGCCAGGAUUUCUUUCUGGAACUCCCUGUGGUCCCAGUUGCCGGAUUUCAGAGAUUGCUGUGGGGAAUGCCAUGGAAUAGAACCUGGCCACCUUGAGCUGAGAAAGGUGUUUGUGAUUGAUGGUUGAUGCCACCAAGCAAAGAGGGUUAAAUAACUUAACUGCCUGCCUGCUGCUUUUAAAAAGGCAGCUGACGACCUAAUCUGUUUAGAAUUAGGGGCGAAGCUAAGGAAACUGGCUCAGGCUAUGGUGGAAGAGAGUGAAGAGCGGCUCACGGAGGAGCAGAUUGAAGCUCUUCUCCACACCGUCACCAGCAUUCUGCCUGCAGAGCCAGAGGCUGAGCAGAAGAAGAAGACCAACAGCGAUGUGGCAAUGGACGAAGAAGACCCAGCAUAGAAGAGCACAGCUGGCCCCAGCGUUUCAUGAAGUCAGAAGGCCCGGCAGCCGUUUCCUGGACGUUGAGAGGAUUGUUUAUUUGAUUUUUAUCCUCAUCCUAGCAGGCCUGGCUUCGUGGUUAGUUGGGUACAUCACAAAAAUAAGCUAAAAAGAAAUAUUUGUGCCUUGGGGAGAAGAAACAUGGUGAAGACAGGCUGAGGUUGUCAGGGCAGAGAGCUGAAGGUGGGGACAGUGACUGCGGACCCCUCUGUGCUUGAAAGAUUUCCUCCACGGCCUUUGCCCCAGUUGUGGGAAG
RNAcentral lists this small RNA (730 nucleotides) under Pongo abelii (Sumatran orangutan). RNAcentral's name for it is "processed transcript". Lineage: Eukaryota; Metazoa; Chordata; Mammalia; Primates; Hominidae. The record is from RNAcentral.